This 1090-nucleotide long non-coding RNA is filed under the name Nicotiana tabacum (common tobacco). RNAcentral's name for it is "long non-coding RNA (NTAB_LNC014517)". The record is from RNAcentral. Lineage: Eukaryota; Viridiplantae; Streptophyta; Magnoliopsida; Solanales; Solanaceae.
AUUAUCUAAGCUGUCCAAAUUUCCUUGAUCAUAUAUGCAUUUAGAUGGGGAAAACUACUUUAUUUGUAAAUACGUACUUACUUGUUAAUUGACUAAUUCGCAUAGUUUGAGUUCAGCUGGGACUCACCAUUGUAGACCGCGAGGGGUGCCUAACACCUUCCCCUCAAGGUUAUUUCGAGCCCUUACCCCGAUCUCUGGUAAUGCAAACUAGUUACAUGAGUUAAUCGCUCUAGGUGCCCUAACGCACCUUAAUCCGUUAGGUAGCGACUCUUCAAAUACCCAAUUCCCAAAAUUUCCCAAUGAAUAUUGAAACCCGGACUCCCCGAGGAAAAAUGGGGCGCGACACACACGAAAAAAGAAAAUGAAUUGAGAUCUUACCAUUUUAAAAAUAUGGUAAUUCAGAAUACCAUCUUAACUCUAGAAUAGAAAUCAGUGCCAUUAGAUCACUACAAAAGAUUUGCUAAAUAAGCAAAAUAAAUGACCUUUAUACACAUUUCAUCUUCUUCAAACUACAUAAUAUUCAGAAAUUGACUAAGUAAAUAUUAAAAAUACCACAUUACCUUUUGAUUCUAUUAAGCACGAUGUAGGAAGUCCAAUAAUUGAUCAAUUUUUUAUGAAAAAAAUGAAGUGUUUGAACAAUUUUUACAUCAAGCCUUAAUUUCAAACCAAUCCAAAAUGUUAUGUCAAAGAAAAAAAAGAUCAACAUCGGUAAUAGUGUUAACUCCAUCAAAUUUUAAAGCAAAAAACAAUUGAAUUUCAGCUGAUUUUUUUAAAAAAACAUAGCGAUUACAAAAUCGAUUAACAAAGAAGGAGACCUCCAAAUAUUUACAUAAUCACACAGUUUCCAAUUUACCCAAAAUCAUAAAAAGGGAAUAGAAGAAAUUAGGGCUUUUAGCAUAAGGAUGAAUUUUGGAGUGUAAGGGUAGAAAUCAAGAGGAACAAAGUCAGAGAGAAAGAAGGGUACCUAGUAGUAGCGAAAGAGAACCAAGUUCGCCGCUUAAGAAGAGUGUUGUUUCAGUUCACUGCAUCCAAACGUUUGUUGCAACUUGUCGUAGUUACCCUACUGAGCGGGAAAAGAGCGGUGGGAUAU